AUUGAACGCUGGCGGUAUGCUUAAGACAUGCAAGUCGAACGGUAACAGGUUAAGCUGACGAGUGGCGGACGAGUGAGUAACGCGUGGGAAUCUACCUUGUAGUGGGGGAUAAGCCAGGGAAACUUGGACUAAUACCGCAUACGCCCUAAGGGGGAAAGGCGCAAGUCGCUAUAAGAUGAGCCCGCGUCUGAUUAGGUAGUUGGUGGGGUAAAGGCCUACCAAGCCGACGAUCAGUAGCUGGUCUGAGAGGAUGAUCAGCCACGUCGGGACUGAGACACGGCCCGGACUCCUACGGGAGGCAGCAGUCGGGAAUAUUGGACAAUGGGGGAAACCCGUGAUCCAGCAAUACCGCGUGUGUGAAGAAGGCCUGCGGGUUGUAAAGCACUUUCAGUUGGGAAGAUAAUGACGUUACCAACAGAAGAAGCACC
This 428-nucleotide ribosomal RNA is filed under the name uncultured bacterium. Its description in RNAcentral is "bacterial SSU rRNA". It matches the Rfam family "Bacterial small subunit ribosomal RNA", at positions 30 to 494 of the family's 1533-position model. The record is from RNAcentral.